UACGUAGGGUCCGAGCGUUGUCCGGAUUUAUUGGGCGUAAAGAGCUCGUAGGCGGCUCAGUAAGUCAGAUGUGAAAACUCAGGGCUCAACCCGGAGACGCCAUCUGAUACUGCUGUGGCUUGAGUCUGGUAGGGGAUCGCGGAAUUCCUGGUGUAGCGGUGAAAUGCGCAGAUAUCAGGAGGAACACCAAUUGCGAAGGCAGCUCGCUGGGACGUAACUGACGCUGAGACGCGAAAGCGUGGGGAGCAAACAGG
RNAcentral lists this ribosomal RNA (254 nucleotides) under uncultured bacterium. RNAcentral describes it as "partial 16S ribosomal RNA". It matches the Rfam family "Bacterial small subunit ribosomal RNA", at positions 524 to 776 of the family's 1533-position model. The record is from RNAcentral.